UAUCUUGUUUGAUGAACGACAACGCGGUC
RNAcentral lists this non-coding RNA (29 nucleotides) under Bombyx mori (domestic silkworm). Lineage: Eukaryota; Metazoa; Arthropoda; Insecta; Lepidoptera; Bombycidae. The record is from RNAcentral.